GCUUGCUGGGGGGGUUACUGGAAAACGGGUGAGUAACACGUGAGUAACCUGCCCUUGACUCUGGGAUAAGCCUGGGAAACUGGGUCUAAUACCGGAUAUGACUCCUCAUCGCAUGGUGGGGGGUGGAAAGCUUUUGUGGUUUUGGAUGGACUCGCGGCCUAUCAGCUUGUUGGUGGGGUAAUGGCCUACCAAGGCGACGACGGGUAGCCGGCCUGAGAGGGUGACCGGCCACACUGGGACUGAGACACGGCCCAGACUCCUACGGGAGGCAGCAGUGGGGAAUAUUGCACAAUGGGCGCAAGCCUGAUGCAGCGACGCCGCGUGAGGGAUGACGGCCUUCGGGUUGUAAACCUCUUUCAGUAGGGAAGAAGCCUUUCGGGGUGACGGUACUUGCAGAAGAAGCGCCGGCUAACUACGUGCCAGCAGCCGCGGUAAUACGUAGGGCGCAAGCGUUAUCCGGAAUUAUUGGGCGUAAAGAGCUCGUAGGCGGUUUGUCGCGUCUGCUGUGAAAGACCGGGGCUCAAC
RNAcentral lists this ribosomal RNA (525 nucleotides) under Arthrobacter sp. Its description in RNAcentral is "bacterial SSU rRNA". It matches the Rfam family "Bacterial small subunit ribosomal RNA", at positions 78 to 613 of the family's 1533-position model. RNAcentral also lists the same sequence under 1 other name. The record is from RNAcentral. Lineage: Bacteria; Bacillati; Actinomycetota; Actinomycetes; Micrococcales; Micrococcaceae.